RNAcentral lists this unclassified non-coding RNA (343 nucleotides) under Hevea brasiliensis (rubber tree). Lineage: Eukaryota; Viridiplantae; Streptophyta; Magnoliopsida; Malpighiales; Euphorbiaceae. The record is from RNAcentral.
GUGAGGUUGUACUCGUGCAUUGAUUCUGGCCUGCAAACUGGUUCCGCGAUUGCAAUAAGGAAAUCAUAUGCCUGUUUGUACAAUGGUGAGAAAGUUUCGAGGAAUAUCCGACCAUCAGCACAAGCCCAUAAGGGCCGAUUAGCAUGGUCAGGUUUCAACUCCAAUUUGCUGAAAUCUCUCUUGCCUCCUUCUUUAUCACCAUUGCGAUCAUCGUCGUCAAGAUCGUCAAGAUGGUAGACAUCAUCUUCUUCAAAAGCUUUCUUGUAAUCCUCCUUGCCGAAUUUAGGUUUUUUGCUGGGUCUUCCUUUGUCACCGUGUCCCAUAGCUUGGAAAAUGAGAUGCA